CCGAGUGUGGGGGCCCCCGGCCCCCGACCUCCCAACCCUUUGAUUUGAUCAAGACCUCGUUUUGCCUCGGGGGCGACCCGGCCUUCGGGCCGCCGGUCCCCCCGGUGGUCACCCCAUUCAACCCUGCAUCAAUUGUCGUCCGAGUCGAAUUGUGAAUACCAAUCA
RNAcentral lists this unclassified non-coding RNA (165 nucleotides) under uncultured Ascomycota. RNAcentral's name for it is "sequence contains ITS1". The record is from RNAcentral. Lineage: Eukaryota; Fungi; Ascomycota.